Molecule: long non-coding RNA, 257 nt
Organism: Pezoporus occidentalis (night parrot)
Lineage: Eukaryota; Metazoa; Chordata; Aves; Psittaciformes; Psittacidae
Exons: 3
Source: RefSeq, a predicted model, not a curated record
CAGCCCCCAAAGAAGUCCACCCUUGUCCUGUUGGUGGCCGAGCUCAGCCCUUGCGGAGGCGAGGAUGCAAAGGGCUGCCUUCGUAGAGUCCUGAAGCCCUUACCGCCCCGCAACGUGCUGAAGUGAACCAGGUGAAGGAUCCUCCAGCUGCACGCGCCAGCCUGUCAGAGCUGGCUAUUCCAACAUGUGCGGGAGCUGGAGGAAGAGGCCGCCAGCAGGACCCAAGUGGGUCUUCAGGGGGAACCAGUGGAGGUGGA